AGAGAAUCUAUGGUUCUGAGUUUCAACCCGUGCAUGUUCCACAAGUGUUCGUGCAUCAGCUAUCAAUCCACUCAUUGCACAGCCAAUAUGCUCGUCGAUUUCCAUAAUUUUCUCCACACUGCUUGGCUCCAGAAGUGGUGAAGUAAUGCGCUUCUCCACAGCAAGAACAACUCCUUCCUUAGUCUUCAAUCCAAUUGCAGUUGAACCCAACUUGAUAGCUUCAAUAGCAUAUUCAACUUGAAACAAUCGUCCUUCAGGCGAGAAAGUGUUAACACCUCUAUCAUACUCAGUUCUUGUAAGAAACAUCUUUGUUGAAAUUUUGCUACAGAUCCAAAAACCCUUUGUUCAGAUUUUGUUUGAACUGAAGAUUAUUCCUUCUUCUUCUU
RNAcentral lists this unclassified non-coding RNA (386 nucleotides) under Hevea brasiliensis (rubber tree). Lineage: Eukaryota; Viridiplantae; Streptophyta; Magnoliopsida; Malpighiales; Euphorbiaceae. The record is from RNAcentral.